AAGGUUUUUGAUCUUUAUAGGACUUAAAAUCCUUUUAAAGACAGAGUUUUAGCAACAGGAGUUAGAACAAUAUUUUACCCACGAUCAGUACAGCUGUAGUCACAACUGCCCUUAACCCUUUAUAGGGCAAGUGACUGUUUUUGGUAAUUUCCACACCUGUUACUUAUCACGCCCUUCCCCCGUCUCAGUGAGUUCAAGAGUCAUGGGAUCUUUACCCAUGACUCAGCAAAGAUCAUUCUACAUUAUAGGUUACUCAAUUGUGCAACUUGACCAAUCAGCACAGAGCAGGGUCACAUCAAAUUUCCCUUUCUCUGCAAAAUCAGAAAAAGUUGCUUUUGCAGCUCAGUUCACUGGACAUUUUCAAAGGAAUCGUCAAAACUAACCAUGUUUCCAUCAAUUUUUUAUGGCAAGAGGAGGGAGACUGCUGUUGUGCCAGUCCACCCUGACAUUAGUGAUGUUGAUGAGGAUCAAGAUGAUGAUGUGUCAGACCCCGACUUCGCCCCACCCACCAACAACCAGGACAUUCCCAGACCCUCACACACAGUUGUGUGAGGGUCUAUUCAACACUUUUGUUAUUAGCACUUUUUGUUAUUAUCACGUUUAUGUUCUAAAAGUGAUGUUCAAAUGUUCAAAUACAUAAUAUGUGUUUUUCUUAUAUGUAUAUAUAUAUGUAUACUUAUUGGAAUUUGUUUUCCCACUCACGGGCAAGUGACCAAAUAUGGUAACUUCAUUGGCAUUGAUUUUCUACAUGAAAAUAAAAAAAAUUGAAAAAUGU
Oryzias latipes (Japanese medaka) is the source of this 775-nucleotide long non-coding RNA. RefSeq lists it as uncharacterized. NCBI's taxonomy places the organism in Eukaryota, Metazoa, Chordata, Actinopteri, Beloniformes, Adrianichthyidae. The record is from RefSeq and is a predicted model, not a curated record.